UACGUAGGGGGCAAGCGUUAUCCGGAUUUACUGGGUGUAAAGGGAGCGUAGACGGAAUUGCAAGUCUGAUGUGAAAAUCCGGGGCCCAACCCCGGAACUGCAUUGGAAACUGUAUUUCUAGAGUGUCGGAGAGGCAAGUGGAAUUCCUGGUGUAGCGGUGAAAUGCUUAGAUAUCACGAAGAACUCCGAUUGCGAAGGCAGCAUACCGGCGCGCAACUGACGCUCAUGCACGAAAGCGUGGGUAUCGAACAGG
This 253-nucleotide ribosomal RNA is filed under the name uncultured Eubacteriales bacterium. Its description in RNAcentral is "uncultured Clostridiales bacterium partial 16S ribosomal RNA". It matches the Rfam family "Bacterial small subunit ribosomal RNA", at positions 524 to 776 of the family's 1533-position model. The record is from RNAcentral. Lineage: Bacteria; Bacillati; Bacillota; Clostridia; Eubacteriales.